RNAcentral lists this ribosomal RNA (444 nucleotides) under uncultured Bdellovibrio sp. Its description in RNAcentral is "bacterial SSU rRNA". It matches the Rfam family "Bacterial small subunit ribosomal RNA", at positions 337 to 795 of the family's 1533-position model. The record is from RNAcentral. Lineage: Bacteria; Pseudomonadati; Bdellovibrionota; Bdellovibrionia; Bdellovibrionales; Pseudobdellovibrionaceae.
UCCUACGGGUGGCUGCAGUAGGGAAUAUUGCGCAAUGGGGGAAACCCUGACGCAGCGACGCCGCGUGAGUGAUGAAGGCCUUCGGGUCGUAAAGCUCUGUUGCAGGGGAAUAAAAAAAUGAAGGUACCCUGUGAGGAAGGAUCAGCUAACUUCGUGCCAGCAGCCGCGGUAAGACGAGGGAUCCUAGCGUUGCUCGGAAUCAUUGGGCGUAAAGAGGGCGUAGGUGGCUUGGUAAGUCAGGUGUGAAAGCCCAGGGCUCAACCCUGGAAGUGCAUUUGAUACUGCUAAGCUUGAGUGUUAGAGAGGUUACCGGAAUACCUGGUGUAGUGGUGAAAUACGUAGAUAUCAGGUGGAACACCGGAGGCGAAGGCGGGUAACUGGCUAAACACUGACACUGAGGCCCGAAAGCGUGGGGAUCAAACAGGAUUAGAUACCCCUGUAGUC